GACGAACGCUGGCGGCGUGCUUAACACAUGCAAGUCGAACGGAAAGGCCCUGCUUUUGUGGGGUGCUCGAGUGGCGAACGGGUGAGUAACACGUGAGUAACCUGCCCUUGACUUUGGGAUAACUUCAGGAAACUGGGGCUAAUACCGGAUAGGAGCUCCUGCUGCAUGGUGGGGGUUGGAAAGUUUCGGCGGUUGGGGAUGGACUCGCGGCUUAUCAGCUUGUUGGUGGGGUAGUGGCUUACCAAGGCUUUGACGGGUAGCCGGCCUGAGAGGGUGACCGGCCACAUUGGGACUGAGAUACGGCCCAGACUCCUACGGGAGGCAGCAGUGGGGAAUAUUGCACAAUGGGCGGAAGCCGGAUGCAGCAACGCCGCGUGCGGGAUGACGGCCUUCGGGUUGUAAACCGCUUUCGCCUGUGACGAAGUGUGAGUGGCGGUAAUGGGUAAAGAAGCACCGGCUAACUACGU
This 467-nucleotide ribosomal RNA is filed under the name uncultured bacterium. Its description in RNAcentral is "partial 16S ribosomal RNA". It matches the Rfam family "Bacterial small subunit ribosomal RNA", at positions 28 to 506 of the family's 1533-position model. The record is from RNAcentral.